RNAcentral lists this ribosomal RNA (160 nucleotides) under uncultured bacterium. RNAcentral describes it as "partial 16S ribosomal RNA". It matches the Rfam family "Bacterial small subunit ribosomal RNA", at positions 338 to 514 of the family's 1533-position model. The record is from RNAcentral.
CCUACGGGAGGCAGCAGUGGGGGAUAUUGCACAAUGGGGGGAAACCCUGAUGCAGCGACGCCGCGUGGAGGAAGAAGGUUUUCGGAUUGUAAACUCCUGUCGUUAGGGACGAUAAUGACGGUACCUAACAAGAAAGCACCGGCUAACUACGUGCCAGCAG